GACGAACGCUGGCGGCGUGCUUAACACAUGCAAGUCGAACGGUAAGGCCCUUCGGGGUCCACGAGUGGCGAACGGGUGAGUAACACGUGGGUAAUCUGCCCUGCACAUCGGGAUAAGCCUGGGAAACUGGGUCUAAUACCGAAUAGGACCACAGGACACAUGUCCUGUGGUGGAAAGCUUUUGCGGUGUGGGAUGGGCCCGCGGCCUAUCAGCUUGUUGGUGGGGUGAUGGCCUACCAAGGCGACGACGGGGUAGCCGGCCUGAGAGGGUGUCCGGCCACACUGGGACUGAGAUACGGCCCAGACUCCUACGGGAGGCAGCAGUGGGGAAUAUUGCACAAUGGGCGAAAGCCUGAUGCAGCGACGCCGCGUGGGGGAUGACGGCCUUCGGGUUGUAAACCUCUUUCACCAUCGACGAAGGUCCGGGUUUUCUCGGGCUGACGGUAGGUGGAGAAGAAGCACCGGCCAACUACGUG
Molecule: ribosomal RNA, 475 nt
Filed under: uncultured bacterium
Lineage: Bacteria
Description: partial 16S ribosomal RNA
Rfam family: Bacterial small subunit ribosomal RNA
Source: RNAcentral